GUAUUCUAUAAUAUAAAUAUUUUUUAACUCACGAAAUUUGCUGAGCUAAUUUUUUUUCCAAUUUGGGGGAGCAAAAUAAUGUGGCAUUAUUAAUAUUAAAAAAAAAAAUUAGGGGUGAUAGGCUAACCAAAGUAAAGGAUAUCUUGAUAUUUAGGAAAUAUAUUUAGUAUAAAUACAAUUCAAAAAUGUUAAGGUUUUUGCAAUGUAUUAUUGUUCUUGUUUAUUAAACUGUUUAUUUAAUAAUUACUAAUAAUUAAGUAAUAUUAUACCUUAGGUUUACUAUAUAUAAAAUACUAAAAGUUUAAAGAUAAAGGGUUAUUUAAAAGAUAAUGAAUAUAUUAGUAUAUAAUUUAUAUGUUCAAAAGGAACUCGGCAAAAUAAUAGCUCGACUGUUUAUCAAAAACAUUUCUUUAGGAACUUUAACUAAAGUUUCCCCUGCUCAAUGAAUUUUAAAUAGCCGCAGUACCUUGACUGUGCAAAGGUAGCAUAAUCAGUUGGCUUAUAAUUAAAGUCUAGAAUGAAAGGGCUUACGGGUUAUAUCUGUCUCUUCAGUAUAUAUAAAAAUUACUUAAUAAGUGAAAAUUCUUAUUGAAAUAAAACAGACGAGAAGACCCUAGAAAUUUUUUAUACGUUUUCUUCGCAAUAUUUUGUUGGGGCGACAAAGUAACAAAGAACUUACUUUAUGUACAUGAAGUGAUUUACACUGUUUGAAUAAAUUACUCUAGGGAUAACAGCAUUAUUUAAUAUAAGUUUGUGACCUCGAUGUUGGACUAGGGUACCAUUUACUUAAAAGGUAUUAUGGACGGCUCUGUUCGAGCUUUAUUCCCUACAUGAUCUGAGUUCAGACCGG
RNAcentral lists this ribosomal RNA (850 nucleotides) under Vicariihelix sp. MTN-2017. Its description in RNAcentral is "partial 16S ribosomal RNA". The record is from RNAcentral. Lineage: Eukaryota; Metazoa; Mollusca; Gastropoda; Stylommatophora; Hygromiidae.